This 853-nucleotide long non-coding RNA is filed under the name Cottoperca gobio. RNAcentral's name for it is "lncRNA (ENSCGOG00000000450.1)". The record is from RNAcentral. Lineage: Eukaryota; Metazoa; Chordata; Actinopteri; Perciformes; Bovichtidae.
ACAGUCAGCUUUUAAAAUAAAUUAUAGGCCAACCAGUCUGACUGAUAAAUACAAAAAGAAGUAAAUGUAGAGGUUUUUGUGUUUCUCAGGUUCCACUGACUGUCCUCAGGUUAUGACAUGAGGCGAUACACUUUGCUGCAAUCAUCUCCCGUUUUGCCAUUUCCACAAGUAAAUAUGCCCUGGAGUGGAACACACACUAGAUCAUUUCUGGGUAUCCGACCUGUCUGGCAUGAUGGUCAUUAAAGCUGAGCCAGCGGUGCCGGUGGGCCUGCUGCUUCCCUGCUUGCGUCCCUGUUGCACUGCACCGAGCUCGCUGGCCUGGAGCCGCUAACAAGCUGUGCAUUCAGACAGUUGAUGCUACAAAUGGAGCUGUGCAGUGGACCAACUCCGGAGAUGAACAACUGAAGCGCUGCUGAAUCCCCUCGGCAAGGGAGGGAGCAAGACCUCCCACCCUCUACUGAAGCUUGGACUGGGGUGGACUCGCAUUUUCUUCCAGCAUAGAAAUCUAUUCAUAAUGUGUUAUUAUGCACUAUAAUACUCACUAAUAAACAACGUAUUCAUAGGGUAUAUUCAAAUGUGUGCAAACAAGCUACUAUUUGUACACAUGAGAAUGGAAAUAAUAAUUGUUACUUGAGUAUUUAUGUAACUAGUAUUUAUGAAUUGUUGUUGUAUUUACAUGUUGCUUAUAGUGAAUAUGGGAAGGAAAGCAUGGUGCUGGAUUGGUUUUAUGACUACUACAGCUGACCUGAAUCUGCCUCUUUUUUACUGCAUUUAAUAAUGAGGAGCUUGUCCAUGUUACCAAACAGAGGAGAAGCAUUACAAUAACACACCUGGUAUUAAUCCCGAUGGUAAU